Molecule: ribosomal RNA, 460 nt
Filed under: uncultured bacterium
Lineage: Bacteria
Description: partial 16S ribosomal RNA
Rfam family: Bacterial small subunit ribosomal RNA
Source: RNAcentral
CCUACGGGGGGCAGCAGUGAGGAAUAUUGGUCAAUGGCCGGAAGGCUGAACCAGCCAUGCAGCGUGAAGGUCAGUGCCCUAUGGGCGUUAAACUUCUUUUGUGCGGGAGCAAUAAUGGUCAAGUGUGGCCAGACGAGAGUACCGUACGAAUAAGCAUCGGCUAACUCCGUGCCAGCAGCCGCGGUAAUACGGGGGAUGCAAGCGUUAUCCGGAUUUUUUGGGUUUAAAGGGUGCGUAGGCUGGGAGGUAAGGCAGCGGUGAAAUGCCUGCGGUCAACGGGGUGAAGUGCCAUUGAUACUGCCUUGCUGGAAUGCGGAUGCCGUGGGAGGAAUGGGUGGUGUAGCGGUGAAAUGCAUAGAUAUCACACAGAACACCGAUUGCGAAGGCAUCUCACGAAGCCGCGAUUGACGCUGAUGCACGAAAGCGUGGGUAUCAAACAGGAUUAGAUACCCCUGUAGUC